ACUGACUAAAAACAACCUGAACUCAGGGGUCAACAUAACAUACUGACUGUAAAAGAGACAAUAAUAGGGACUGUAACAAGUGUGCUUGCUGGGUAUGUGGCUAUAUUAUGAGGUCAGUCUGGACACCAACACCCAGUGGGUUUUGUUAACCAGAGGGUAUGAAACCAUAGUGGUAAACACUACUUCUGUUAUGAGAAACAGGAAGUUGUGUCGGGCCAGAGAUCUUUCUGUGGAUCCAUGAAUGUCGCUGGUGGCAGACUGAGACACCACAAAGAUAGAGCAGAUCAAGGAAAACCGGGAGGCCCACCUGGCAGCCAUGAUGGAACGCCUGCAGGAGAAGGAGAGACAUGCAGCCGUGGUGCGCAGGACACAAGAGCUGAGGGACGAGCUGACAGCGUGAGCCCCCACCCUCCCCAACGUCCACCAACCACGUCCCUCCACCCAGCCGCACCCCUGGAAACCCACAGCAGACACCAAGACCUGGAGGGUGGAGGACUUCACUACCAACACACUGCACCACCCACCCGACCCCCCCACACACACACACACACACACACACACACACACACACACACACACACACACACACACACACACACACACACACACACACACACACACACACACACACACUCACACUCACACACACAAUCAGUAUUAACAGUAUUUUUAAUUGGAUAAGUACCAUCUCAUUAUUUUCUGUGCUCAAGUCAAGGAAACAUGUAAACUGACAAAUAAAAGAACCAAUGACCUAAA
This is a long non-coding RNA of Salvelinus namaycush (lake trout), 756 nucleotides long. RefSeq lists it as uncharacterized. The record is from RefSeq and is a predicted model, not a curated record. The transcript has 2 exons. Lineage: Eukaryota; Metazoa; Chordata; Actinopteri; Salmoniformes; Salmonidae.